AUGGCCUCCGACCAUGAGCGCCUCCGCGCGCUCAAGGCCUUCGACGGCACCAAGGCCGGCGUCAAGGGCCUCGUCGACGCGGGCGUCACCACCAUCCCUGCCAUCUUCCACCACCCGCCGGACUCCCUGGCCGACGCGCCCCAUCACCAUGGUCACCACCAGUUCGCCAUCCCGGUCAUCGACCUCGCCGGCCUCGCGAAGCCGUCGGGGCGGGCCUCGGUGGUCGGCGCGGUAAGGGCGGCCGCGGAGACCGUGGGCUUCUUCCAGGUGACGAACCACGACGUGCCGGAGCCGGCCAUGUCCGAGAUCCUCGCGGCGGUCCGGCGCUUCAACGAGGAGCCGGCGGAGGCCAAGGCGCCGUACUACAGCCGGGACACCGAGCGGCGCGCUAGGUACCAGUGCAACUUCGACCUGUUUCGGUCGCCGACGGCCUGCUGGCGCGACACGCUCUACAUGGAGAUGGCCCCGGAGCCGCCGCCGCCCGAGCAGAUCCCGCCGGCGUGCCGGGCCAUCGUGCCGGAGUACGCUGGGCUGGUGCAGCGGCUGGGGCGGACCCUCUUCGGGCUGCUGUCGGAGGCGAUGGGCCUCCGGCGCGGGUACCUGGAGGAGGAGGCCGGGUGCCUGGAGGGGCUGAGCGUGGGCUGCCACUACUACCCGGCGUGCCCGGAGCCGCACCGGACGCUGGGCAACGCGAGGCACUCCGACCCCAGCUUCCUCACCGUGCUCCUCCAGGACGCCGUCGGCGGACUCCAGGUGCUGGUGGACGUCGACGAGCGGCGGCCGGCGUGGGUGGACGUGCCGGCGGAGGCGUGUGCGCUGGUGGUGAACGUCGGUGACUACCUGCAGAUCCUGUCCAACGACCGGUUCAGGAGCGUGGAGCACCGCGUGGUGGCCAACACCGCCGGUCCCCGGGUCUCCGUCGCAUGCUUCUUCCGCGCCGACGCCUCGACGAGGGUGCUCGCUCCGAUCGUCGCCGGCGGUGAUGGCGACGGCCGCGCGAGGUACAGGAGCACGACGGUGCCGGAGAUGCUCCGGCACUACGGCGCCAAGGGCCUGGACGGCGUCUCUGCGCUCCAGCGCGUCAGGAUCUGA
RNAcentral lists this ribosomal RNA (1092 nucleotides) under Triticum aestivum (bread wheat). Its description in RNAcentral is "partial small subunit ribosomal RNA". The record is from RNAcentral. Lineage: Eukaryota; Viridiplantae; Streptophyta; Magnoliopsida; Poales; Poaceae.